AGUCGAGCGGUAACAUUUCCAGCUUGCUGGAAGAUGACGAGCGGCGGACGGGUGAGUAAAGCAUAGGAAUCUGGCCGAUAGAGGGGGAUAGCCCGGAGAAAUCCGGAUUAAUACCGCAUGUACUCUAAGGAGCAAAGCAGGGGAUCUUCGGACCUUGCGCUAUCGGAUGAGCCUACGUCGGAUUAGUUAGUUGGUGGGGUAAAGGCCUACCAAGGCGACGAUCCGUAGCUGGUCUGAGAGGAUGAUCAGCCACAUCGGGACUGAGACACGGCCCGAACUCCUACGGGAGGCAGCAGUGGGGAAUAUUGCACAAUGGGCGCAAGCCUGAUGCAGCUAUGCCGCGUGUGUGAAGAAGGCCUUAGGUUGUAAAGCACUUUCGGUAGUGAGGAAAAGUAUAGUGUUAAUAGCGCUAUACCGUGACGUUAACUACAGAAGAAGACCGGCAAACUCCGUGCCAGCAGCCGCGGUAAUACGAGGUCCGAGCGUUAAUCGGAAUUACUGGGCGUAAAGGGCGCGUA
RNAcentral lists this ribosomal RNA (518 nucleotides) under uncultured Gammaproteobacteria bacterium. Its description in RNAcentral is "bacterial SSU rRNA". It matches the Rfam family "Bacterial small subunit ribosomal RNA", at positions 60 to 573 of the family's 1533-position model. The record is from RNAcentral. Lineage: Bacteria; Pseudomonadati; Pseudomonadota; Gammaproteobacteria.